This is a long non-coding RNA of Sus scrofa (pig), 859 nucleotides long. RefSeq lists it as uncharacterized. NCBI's taxonomy places the organism in Eukaryota, Metazoa, Chordata, Mammalia, Artiodactyla, Suidae. The record is from RefSeq and is a predicted model, not a curated record.
CCUGCUAUGGCCCUGGAAUUUCCACAUGCUGUGGGCGGGGACAAAAGAGAAAAGGGCAGAGGAUCUGAAUAGACAUUUUUCCAAAGAAGACACACAGACAGAUGAAAAGAUGCUGGGCGUCACUAAUCAUCCCAGAAAUGCCAGCAAAACCCCAAAGAGAUGUCGCCUCACACCCAUCAGAAUGGCUAUCAUCGAAAAGAGGACAGCAGUUCCGGCGCUGGCCCCGAACACGGCCACACGGACCUGGCACACUCUCCCUGGGGGCCUGGACUGUGAUGACAAUAACACUAGCAGCUAUAACUCUGCAAGUCAGAAGUGCCCGUGCUGGGCCUGGCAUGGAGCGCGUCCUCAGGAAUCGCUGGUGCCCUGCCCUCAGCCCCACAGGAUGUGUGGGAAGGAAGAUAACCACGGAAAGCUCUGCCUGGCGGGUGCUGCAGAGUCCUCGUGGAGCCGCCCCCACCCACCCCAGGCUCCCCGAGACGCCCGUCAGCAGUGGCAUCUGAAGCUGAACUGAGUCACUCUAGCCCACUGAGUGAGUCACAGAGGCUGCCAAACAGCUCCCAGCGACUGGAGGGUGACAGUGAGGACUCUCCAGACCCGAGGCUCUUUAAUUCCUUCCUCUUUACUCAUCACCACAGCCCCGAGGUAGGUAUUAGAGGACUGGAGCCCUGGCCAGUCCCCUGUUGUGGGUGGACCACAGCAAGACCUAGUGUGACCUGGAAUUUCAGGACCACAACAGGAAUGCCACCCUUUCUCACUUACUCAAAAAAAAAGAACUGGAUCAUGAGGUCCUUUGCAUGGAUGAUGUUGAACCUGUACAGUCGAUCAGAGAAUGGUAAAUAACUCACAAACUCUGGAA